Molecule: ribosomal RNA, 442 nt
Filed under: uncultured bacterium
Lineage: Bacteria
Description: bacterial SSU rRNA
Rfam family: Bacterial small subunit ribosomal RNA
Source: RNAcentral
UACGGAAGGCAGCAGUGGGGGAAUAUUGCACAAUGGGCGCAAGCCUGAUGCAGCCAUGCCGCGUGUAUGAAGAAGGCCUUCGGGUUGUAAAGUACUUUCAGUCGUGAGGAAGGUGUUAAGGUUAAUAACCUUAGCAAUUGACGUUAGCGACAGAAGAAGCACCGGCUAACUCCGUGCCAGCAGCCGCGGUAAUACGGAGGGUGCGAGCGUUAAUCGGAAUUACUGGGCGUAAAGGGCACGCAGGCGGUUAAUUAAGUUGGAUGUGAAAUCCCCGGGCUUAACCUGGGAAUGGCAUUCAAGACUGGUUAGCUAGAGUCUUGUAGAGGGGGUUAGAAUUCCAUGUGUAGCGGUGAAAUGCGUAGAGAUGUGGAGGAAUACCGGUGGCGAAGGCGGCCCCUGGACAAAGGACUGACGCUCAUGUGCGAAAGCGUGGGGAGCAAAC